Molecule: ribosomal RNA, 526 nt
Filed under: uncultured bacterium
Lineage: Bacteria
Description: bacterial SSU rRNA
Rfam family: Bacterial small subunit ribosomal RNA
Source: RNAcentral
AGAGUUUGAUCCUGGCUCAGAUUGAACGCUGGCGGCAUGCCUUACACAUGCAAGUCGAACGGCAGCGCGGGGCAACCUGGCGGCGAGUGGCGAACGGGUGAGUAAUAUAUCGGAACGUGCCCUGGAGUGGGGGAUAACGCAGCGAAAGUUGCGCUAAUACCGCAUACGAUCUAAGGAUGAAAGCAGGGGACCGCAAGGCCUUGUGCUCCUGGAGCGGCCGAUAUCUGAUUAGCUAGUUGGUGGGGUAAAGGCCUACCAAGGCAUCGAUCAGUAGCUGGUCUGAGAGGACGACCACCCACACUGGAACUGAGACACGGUCCACACUCCUACGGGAGGCAGCAGUGGGGAAUUUUGGACAAUGGGCGCAAGCCUGAUCCAGCAAUGCCGCGUGAGUGAAGAACGCCUUCGGGUUGUAAAGCUCUUUUGUCAGGGAAGAGACGGUGGGGGCUAAUAUCCCCUGCUAAUGACGGUACCUGAAGAAUAAGCACCGGCUAACUACGUGCCAGCAGCCGCGGUAAUACGUAGG